This 671-nucleotide ribosomal RNA is filed under the name uncultured bacterium. RNAcentral describes it as "bacterial SSU rRNA". It matches the Rfam family "Bacterial small subunit ribosomal RNA", at positions 771 to 1440 of the family's 1533-position model. The record is from RNAcentral.
AACGGGAUUAGAUACCCCGGUAGUCCACGCUGUAAACGUUGUGCACUAGGUGUGGGGGGUGUCGACCCCCUCCGUGCCGGAGCUAACGCAUUAAGUGCACCGCCUGGGGAGUACGGUCGCAAGACUGAAACUCAAAGGAAUUGACGGGGGCCCGCACAAGCGGUGGAGCAUGUGGUUUAAUUCGAGGCAACGCGAAGAACCUUACCCAGGCUUGACAUCCCGAGACCGCCAUGGAAACAUGGUUUUCCCUUCGGGGACUCGGAGACAGGUGUUGCAUGGCUGUCGUCAGCUCGUGUCGUGAGAUGUUGGGUUAAGUCCCGCAACGAGCGCAACCCUUAUCCUUAGUUACCAGCGGUUCGGCCGGGCACUCUAGGGAGACUGCCGGUGAUAAGCCGGAGGAAGGUGGGGACGACGUCAAGUCAUCAUGGCCUUUAUGCUUGGGGCUACACACGUGCUACAAUGGCCGGUACAAUGGGUCGCGAACCCGCGAGGGGGAGCCAAUCUCAAAAAGCCGGUCUCAGUUCGGAUUGGAGUCUGCAAUUCGACUCCAUGAAGCCGGAAUCGCUAGUAAUCGCGCAUCAGCUACGGCGCGGUGAAUACGUUCCCGGGCCUUGUACACACCGCCCGUCACAUGACCCGAGUCGGGUGCACCUGAAGUCGCCGGCCCNNCC